CAGGUCGGACACAAACCCUGAGCCGCUGCGUCGAGAACUGAGCCUCUGCGUAUGGCGACCUGCUCUACCAGUGUUUACUUAAGGACAUGUGCUGCGGGGCUUCACCCUGCCUCGACACCGCCAUGCCUCCACAACAGGCCUCAUCACCAGCCAAGCAUCUGACCCUGUGUUACACCUGCUGUUUGUGCUGUGACAUUGUUGUCCAGAGAAUUGUGGGAAAAGAUAUUUUACAAGUCACAUGCAUUGCAGGGCCUUCGAAAAAAUAAAUGGAUGGCUUGUUUUUCUGACCUUCGCACAAUGGAGUCCUCCCCCUUUUGCACUUUUGCUUGCAUAAAAGUAAAUCAAGAACA
Perca flavescens (yellow perch) is the source of this 350-nucleotide long non-coding RNA. RefSeq lists it as uncharacterized. The record is from RefSeq and is a predicted model, not a curated record. Lineage: Eukaryota; Metazoa; Chordata; Actinopteri; Perciformes; Percidae. The transcript has 2 exons.